CCCGGGCAGACACACGUGAUGAAGCUCCGACCUAGAAUCUUCCUGAUUUUACAUCAUGCAUCCCAAUCUCACCUAUCUCUCCAUCCCUGCCACAUCUGCCUUCCACCCUUGCAAUCUCCCCCCUAAACAAAACAAACUUUAAAAGAAAAACCAAAACUCAAAGAAAACUACAAACAAAGCAAAACAAAACAAACAAAAAAGGAGAAGAAUCUAGUCACGGAAGCUGAAGCAUAGCAUGCUCCCAUAGAUGGAUCUGUAAGUUUGUUACAAAGCGGGAGCUGUGAGCCAGACCUAUCCCAAGGGAGAGAAAGCAUUGAAGUAGGCCAGCUACAAAUGCGC
Molecule: long non-coding RNA, 339 nt
Organism: Microtus oregoni (creeping vole)
Lineage: Eukaryota; Metazoa; Chordata; Mammalia; Rodentia; Cricetidae
Exons: 3
Source: RefSeq, a predicted model, not a curated record